CAGUAGCCACGGGAUACGAAGGGUGCAAGCGUUAAUCGGAAUUACUGGGCGUAAAGCGUGCGUAGGCGGUGAGUUAAGUCUGCUGUGAAAUCCCCGGGCUCAACCUGGGAAUGGCAGUGGAUACUGGCUCGCUAGAGUGUGUCAGAGGAUGGUGGAAUUCCCGGUGUAGCGGUGAAAUGCGUAGAGAUCGGGAGGAACAUCAGUGGCGAAGGCGGCCAUCUGGGACAACACUGACGCUGAGGCACGAAAGCGUGGGGAGCAAACAGGAUUAGAUACCCCCGUAGUCCCUGUCUCUUAUACC
This 301-nucleotide ribosomal RNA is filed under the name uncultured bacterium. RNAcentral describes it as "partial 16S ribosomal RNA". It matches the Rfam family "Bacterial small subunit ribosomal RNA", at positions 509 to 808 of the family's 1533-position model. The record is from RNAcentral.